CUACGGAGGGGGUUAGCGUUGUUCGGAUUUACUGGGCGUAAAGCGCACGUAGGCGGAUUGAUUAGUUAGGGGUGAAAUCCCGAGGCUCAACCUCGGAACUGCCUUUAAUACUGUCAAUCUCGAGACCGGAAGAGGUGAGUGGAACUCCUAGUGUAGAGGUGGAAUUCGUAGAUAUUAGGAAGAACACCAGUGGCGAAGGCGGCUAACUGGUCCGGUACUGACGCUGAGGUGCGAAAGCGUGGGGAGCGAACAGGAUUAGAUACCCUAGUAGUCC
This 274-nucleotide ribosomal RNA is filed under the name uncultured bacterium. RNAcentral's name for it is "partial 16S ribosomal RNA". It matches the Rfam family "Bacterial small subunit ribosomal RNA", at positions 523 to 796 of the family's 1533-position model. The record is from RNAcentral.